RNAcentral lists this ribosomal RNA (214 nucleotides) under uncultured bacterium. RNAcentral's name for it is "partial 16S ribosomal RNA". It matches the Rfam family "Bacterial small subunit ribosomal RNA", at positions 524 to 733 of the family's 1533-position model. The record is from RNAcentral.
UACGGAGGGUGCAAGCGUUAAUCGGAAUUACUGGGCGUAAAGCGUGCGCAGGCGGUUUGUUAAGUCCGCUGUGAAAUCCCCGAGCUCAACUUGGGAAUUGCAGUGGAUACUGGCAAGCUUGGAGUAUGGUAGAGGAAGGUGGAAUUCCCGGUGUAGCAGUGAAAUGCGUAGAGAUCGGGAGGAACACCAGUCGGCGAAGGCGGACCUUCGUCGG